RNAcentral lists this unclassified non-coding RNA (123 nucleotides) under uncultured fungus. Its description in RNAcentral is "sequence contains ITS1". The record is from RNAcentral. Lineage: Eukaryota; Fungi.
GUUUUUAAUUGAUUGUCUCAAUGUUUGUCAACCUUAAUCGUGUGUCGAGUCUCCUUUCCCGAAGAAAAGGAGAUCGUGUGUAAAGAUUUGUUAAUGAUCCUUCCGCAGGUUCACCUACGGAAA